Molecule: small RNA, 71 nt
Filed under: Escherichia fergusonii
Lineage: Bacteria; Pseudomonadati; Pseudomonadota; Gammaproteobacteria; Enterobacterales; Enterobacteriaceae
Description: partial RtT sRNA
Rfam family: RtT RNA
About the family: This family represents a bacterial cis-regulatory element known as RtT RNA. The exact function of RtT is unknown although it is thought that it may be involved in changing the cellular response in relation to amino acid starvation.
Source: RNAcentral
AUUCUGCCCAUGCGGGGAAGGAUGAGAAGCUUCGACUAAGGUUCGACUCGAGCGCCAGCGAGAGAGCGUUG